RNAcentral lists this long non-coding RNA (862 nucleotides) under Actinidia chinensis (golden kiwifruit). RNAcentral's name for it is "long non-coding RNA (ACHI_LNC003244)". Lineage: Eukaryota; Viridiplantae; Streptophyta; Magnoliopsida; Ericales; Actinidiaceae. The record is from RNAcentral.
CCUUGGGUCUUCGCCCUCUGACCUUCGUCUUUCUUCUGAUUUGAAGAAUUAAAUGUUCUCUUCUCCCUUUCUGAAUUUCUCAAGGUCCCUUGUCCCUUUCGAUUAGGGAAAUCAGCAAUGAAGUUGCCAUGUUGUCCACAAGCAAAACAAGCUACAGUAUUCCAAUGGCACUCGAUGUCCGAAUGGAACCCAUUAAAUCUAGAGCAUCUUACUCAGUCUCAUUGUUGGAACGAAUCCCAGAGCUCUCAAUGGAAGAUGUAGUCUGCCUCUUAGCAUUUCCACCAAAACCUUGACUACCCUGAAACCUUGAUGAAUUAGGCCUCUUCUUUUGGUUGCCUUCCCUUUGAUUCCGAACCUCAUUCAUACCCCUUUCUACCGAUAGAGCCUUACCACUGCUGCGUAAGUAGUUAACUCAAAUGGAACCACCACUUUCUUAAUUUCUGGAUCUAGUCCAGCCGGAAACAUUUGUGCUCUACUUGCCUCAUCAGCGACAAGUGUUGGAGCAAACCUGAAAAACCUCGUGAACUUAGCCCGUACUCAGAUACUGUCAUCUUCCCUUGCUCCAGUCUAAUAAACUUGUUCUCUUUCUGUAAGUGAAAACUCUUAGGGAAGUACUUCUCAUGAAAGGCCUCCUUGAACAUUUCAUGUGUGUAUGGAUUGCAGUCACUCUACUCUCAUGCUUGCACUUUUCCAUUUGUCACCAAUCAUAUGCACUUCCUUGCAGCAUAUACGCAGCAAAGUAACCUUUUGUGCAUCAGAGCAGCCAAAACCUCAAACACCUUCUCCAUCUUUGUCAACCAUUUCUUUGACUCUAAAGGAUCAGUGGCCCUUUAAAUGCUGGUGGAGUCGACCUCUUAAGCUC